AAAAUCCGUCGACUUUAAAAAUUGUGAGGGUUCAAGUCCCUCUAUCCCCA
RNAcentral lists this transfer RNA (50 nucleotides) under Misodendrum linearifolium. RNAcentral describes it as "partial tRNA-Leu". The record is from RNAcentral. Lineage: Eukaryota; Viridiplantae; Streptophyta; Magnoliopsida; Santalales; Misodendraceae. RNAcentral also lists the same sequence under 1 other name.